This 341-nucleotide unclassified non-coding RNA is filed under the name Mycoplasma spermatophilum. RNAcentral describes it as "16S-23S ribosomal RNA intergenic spacer". Lineage: Bacteria; Bacillati; Mycoplasmatota; Mollicutes; Mycoplasmatales; Mycoplasmataceae. The record is from RNAcentral.
GUGGGGAUGGAUCACCUCCUUUCUACGGAGUACAAACAUACAUUCANAAUUUUGACUGAAUGUUAUUAACCUUAUUUUUUCACUAGGCCUUUUUAAUAUAUUUUGUUAUGUGACUUUUAUGGCCUAAAAGUCUUAUAUCUAGUUUUGAGAGGACAUCCUCUCUAAUUGUUCUUUGAAAACUGAAUAGUAAAUUUUUUGAUAUUUACAACGACAUCUAAAUAAUUGAAUUAAGUCAAUUUGUUUAGAUUUCAUCGAGAUAGUCAUUUUAAAAAAAUGAUUCAUUGAAAUGUCUUAAAAUACACAUCAAAACAAACAAUCUAUACAAUAGGAAUUUAUAUACU